RNAcentral lists this ribosomal RNA (268 nucleotides) under uncultured Prevotella sp. Its description in RNAcentral is "partial 16S ribosomal RNA". It matches the Rfam family "Bacterial small subunit ribosomal RNA", at positions 88 to 354 of the family's 1533-position model. The record is from RNAcentral. Lineage: Bacteria; Pseudomonadati; Bacteroidota; Bacteroidia; Bacteroidales; Prevotellaceae.
ACGUCGACCGGCGCACGGGUGAGUAACGCGUAUCCAACCUUCCCAUUACUGUGGGAUAACCUGCCGAAAGGCAGACUAAUACCGCAUAGUCUUCGAUGACGGCAUCAGAUUUGAAGUAAAGAUUUAUCGGUAAUGGAUGGGGAUGCGUCUGAUUAGCUUGUUGGCGGGGUAACGGCCCACCAAGGCGACGAUCAGUAGGGGUUCUGAGAGGAAGGUCCCCCACAUUGGAACUGAUACACGGUCCAAACUCCUACGGGAGGCAGCAGGU